UUAAAUAAAACCUUGUAAUAAUUAGGUAAGGUCAAUGUGGUGGAACCAUCUACAUACUGGUAUAAGAGAAAACAGGUUACUUACAGAAGGUUGGUAGAGCAGAAGGAUUAAAGCUCUAGCUGUCUGUCUGAUAUAUGUGUCUGAGCGACGUACGUAUAUUGUUUGGUAUUAACUCGGGUGAAAGGCAUCAAUUCAGCCUCGGACUAUUGACUACCAAAUUACCUCGACGAAAGUGAAUUUCAUCCCUUGGUCAACAAUCUACUAGGUAUAUUGACUUUUGUGGCAUUUUUUUUUUUCUUUGGUAGACUUUUUUAAACUGUUUUAAACUCACAUCUCUCUUCGUACGCGAUACGCUUUUUCUUUCGUUUGAUUAAACUCAAUUAAACAAAACUUAAUUUUAACCUAACUUAACCCAAUCGCAUCAAAAUGAAAAUAACGUCGCUGUCCUUACGUAUUUAUAACUUGGUCGUGGGCGGCGCGGCGUAUCGUCCAGUGUCCAGUGGAUUAGUCCAGCGACCAGUUGCCCAGUGAGUCCAGUUGACCGUCGCCAUGCCGAACGCGGAGACCACGAACCUCAUCGCUACUUACCUCAUUCUGGUAUUGCUCUUAGCAAGCCUGUGGCUAUUGUACUCUGGAUUAUUCUAAAACUAUGUUCGGCUCACAAGCAAGAUGAGGGGCGGCUAACUUUAAGAAACCGUAAUCGUAAUAAGUUAAGUUAAGCAAUAUAAGCAUUUAGAAAGAAAAAUUAAGAUGACAGAAGAUCAGAGGGAUGGCACCAACGGGAGAGAAGUGCAGGGCAUUCCAAAUAACACGUAAAGAGAGAAAGACAUCACAACUUUACGAAAGAAAACUCCGAUUUUGUUAGGAACGAGAUUUGUAAUAAAGUUUUUUAAUAAAUGUGAA
Cydia pomonella (codling moth) is the source of this 903-nucleotide long non-coding RNA. RefSeq lists it as uncharacterized. The record is from RefSeq and is a predicted model, not a curated record. The transcript is spliced from 2 exons. NCBI's taxonomy places the organism in Eukaryota, Metazoa, Arthropoda, Insecta, Lepidoptera, Tortricidae.